Small nucleolar RNA from Heterocephalus glaber (naked mole-rat), 124 nucleotides. NCBI's taxonomy places the organism in Eukaryota, Metazoa, Chordata, Mammalia, Rodentia, Bathyergidae. The record is from Ensembl.
AAAUUUGGGUCAAAGUCAGAUUUUAAAAAUUGUAUCAUUCAACUGCAUAGAGAGCAACCUAGAGAGACUUUGACAGCUUGGGUCAACCUAGUACCUGCAGCUGCCACUCACUUUUCUUUUUUCA